Molecule: long non-coding RNA, 445 nt
Organism: Acanthopagrus latus (yellowfin seabream)
Lineage: Eukaryota; Metazoa; Chordata; Actinopteri; Spariformes; Sparidae
Exons: 3
Source: RefSeq, a predicted model, not a curated record
CUGACUUCCCCACAGAAGCACAUCACUGUCUAACACAGGAAACCUGCCAGGAAAUUCUACAUGCCGCACUGUACAGUCCUCUACUGUACUCACUGCAGUCUGAAAUCUCCAAACAAAUGAUCUUUCUACGUUUGAUUUGCUUUCAGGAUACCACUCUGGUGAACCACAACAGCGAAAACACAGCCAUUACGGCUCUAAAAAGCUGAGUUUGUGGUGCUUUGACAUUUACACUGAUCCAGGCAGCAGCGCUGGGACUGGAGGGAAGUGGAGGUUCACAGAUCCUACAGCACAGGAUAAGCCUUCCACUGGAGGAGCUGUUAUCUGUAACAGCAGUUGAGUCUGGUGGGGUCGGCUCACCUGCGAGAUGAACAAAGACAGUGUCACAAAAACAGCUUAGCAUAAAUGCUUGAAAAAAGUUAAUCAAUCAAUAAAAUGUCUCAAAUAA